This is a non-coding RNA of Cinara cedri, 11364 nucleotides long. NCBI's taxonomy places the organism in Eukaryota, Metazoa, Arthropoda, Insecta, Hemiptera, Aphididae. The record is from the annotation of a GenBank genome assembly.
UAGCUAUGCUGUCUGAAUAUAAAGACAAUCAUGGCAAGUACUAUUUAUUAAUUCAAAUAUUAUUCCUUUAUUUAAAAUAUCAUAAUACUAAAAGUAUACUAUAUCGACGUUUUUUAAUAAAACUAAUAGAUUCAUUAGGUAAAUAAUUUAAGUUUUUUUUUUUGUUAUAUAUAUUUUCCAGAUUUAUCUAAAUAUUCACAUGGUGGCAAGUAUACUUUUUUUGCAGUACUAAAAAUGUUGUGUGCAUCUGCAUUAAUAAAUAAACUGAAAAACAACAGACAAAUAGUUUUAUUAUCAAAUUCUGUGAAAUAUAAAAACAACAUUAUAAGUUUAAUUUUAACACAGUUCAAUUCUUCAGGUGAUUUUGAAUAUGCCCCUGAUGGUAAGCAUCUGUUCUUAAACUUAUAUCUCGAGGUAUAUUCUUUGCAGUUUUUAAUAUGAUAUAGUUUAUUUUAACUGUGUAAACUCGUGCAGUUGUGUGGUAUACUAAGGUUCAUCUUAGUACUUACCGUAUUUAUCUUUACAAUACCUAUAUUAUAAUUUAUUGUUUAUAUAUUUUGAUAAUUUAGAGGAAGAAGUCGAGAAGGGCAAGUAUAACCAAUUUAAAAAAUCUAAAUAAAUUGAUUUUAAUGAACGCGUACAAUAUUUAAUAUUAUAAUUAAGUUUUAAGUUGCUUUUAUGCAUAAGAUAAUAAAAUGCACAAAGAGUAAAUGCCCAUAAAUUAACAAACAGUUAUUGAAUUAACUAUGUUGUGUAUAACAAAUAUACCAGAUACCUGUAUAUUAUUUAUGAUAAUACGUAUAUCUGCAUACAAUUUCGUUUAAUGAUAACAAUUUUUCUUUGCACUAUGGACUAAAAUCGGCGGAGUAUGAUUGCGUGCGUUGUAUACCUUUUGUGUAUACGAUUGCGCGUGGUACCGGCAUAACAAAAAACAUGGUUUCGACCCCUCAAUGGAGUACGAUUGCGCAUGAAAUUGGAUGCGGUAUUGCCGCUAAUAGUUACAUAGAUAGAUUAAAAUUCAUUAAAAAAUUUAUAUUAAAUUAUAUAUUUAUAUUAAAGCUCCGAUACCUAUUUCCCACUAUUGCCAAAUACUUAAGUAAAUUUUCUGACGUUUUAUUUUGUUCAUACUCUUCGUGUUUUUUUUUUUUGCUUUUAAAGUCAAUUUUCUGUAAUCCUUGCUUCGAUAUUGGCUUCACUAUUCCUUUGGAAACGGUUAAUAGUUUGGUUAAUGUUUUUGCCUGAGUCUCAAGAAGGAUAGUUAUAACAACAAAUGUCCGCGGAUGAGCACUGUUAAACUGUGAGGUAUAUGUACUUUGGAAACUUUCAACCCACAGCUAAAAUAUGAACACAAACACAAUUGACAGUAAAUACACAUGCACGAUUAUAGUUUAGAUAUAAUCGAACGAACCUAUAUGGGAAUUUACAAUAAAGAUAAUAAUAUUCUGAUCUAAUAUAAUAAAUGUAAUAUAAAAUUAUGAUCUAAAAUAUAACCAAUGGUUCUUAAUGUGGAAGUUUUUUUGGUAUCGGCAAUUUAUUUAUUUAUCGAAUGACCUGUAUUGAAUGCAAUAUGAUUAUAAUAUUAUACUAUGACUACUACUAGUUAACAGGAAAAUUAGAAUAAGCAAAUUAAUAAAUUCAUAAAACAAGUAUAAAAUAAAAUAUGGAAUAUAACAGAUAAAUAGAUAAAAUAGAUGAAUACAGAAAGGUAUCGUGGUUAUUUGGUAUUAGAUAUCGAUGCCUAAUGAAUCCAACCAUUCUAUUGUCUGUGUCCGUUGCUGCGUGUAACUCAGUUAAGGUUCCAUGAAAUUUCCUCUUUACGCACUCAUUUACUAUGUGUUCCAUCUUUUGUUUUUUUGCACCAAAGUCGCAUUUUGUGUCUGCCUUGAUUUUCCACUUGUGCAAUAAAUAGUUACACCGACUGGCCUGUGCGUAUGCGAUUCAGCCUGGUUCACAAUCUACAUGGAAGGUCCGACCCUGGUGAUUUACUAUAUAGUAUAUACAUUACCCACUAAGAUUCCGUUAGCGGGGAUAUCGCUUUUCCAUUCUUCCUCCCAUGGAUCUGGUUAAAGGUAUCUAAGAUCCUUUUUUAGUCUGAGGAUCGCAACAUAAUACCUGAUUAUAUUUCAAAUCCAGUUUUUGCUGGUUACGACAGCACGUCAAUAGUAAAUUCUUUUGCGUCAUAAUAAUUUGUAAUCAUUUUACUCCUAAUUAUACAUAUAAUCAUAGGCGUAAUUAGAGCCUAAAUAUUGGGGGUGCUAAAAUUGUAUAACGAAAAAUAACCUGUGGAGGCAAUGCUCCCACACCCCCAAACAGCAUUUAUCAAUUAUUUUUGAAUCAUAAUAACCAUUCUGAAAUGAAACAUAUCUGUUAUAUUUAUGCAUAGUUAAAACAUUUUAAAAUGUAAUAUUUAAUAAAAUAGUAGGUAAACGCAAUAGGUGAACACGGACACUUGACUGAGUAAUGAGUAUCGAGUACCUCGACAGUCACAAAAUAUUUUAAAUUAAUCUCAUGGUUGGGCCCAUAAAAGAUUUUAUUAAACUGAUGAAGGUAAUAAUAAUAUAAUAGUAAUAUAUUAUUAUCAGUUCGUCGCAGCACAUAUCUGUAAUGUAUAUAGCGCUUUUUGAUGAUGCCAUAGAUAAUUCAUAAUGGACAGGCAUAGAUAACACAUGUAUUAUCUAUGGUUGUGACCCAUUGCCUAAAAAUAGCUCUCAUGCAAACGGUUUCUCCGUUAUGAUAUUUGAUAAAAUAUAUCAUCACAUUCAUAGAUUAUAUUAUAUGUCAUUUGAACAAAAUAGUUCUAAAUAAAAAUUAAAAAUGUAUAAUUUACGGUAUUUCACUGUAAUUAUUAUAGCCGGACUUAAAAAAACAAGGGGUAUUAAAUUUGAACUCAGAAGUCCUUGAGAUUCUCUUGUGGCCCCCUAGUUGCGCCACUGCAUUUAAUCUGACGAACAAAUCCAAAUCUCCAUGUAAAAAGCUUAAAUGCUAGAGUCUCAUUAUAGGUACAGUGGUAGAAAACAAUCAAUAACGGAUUCAAUAACAAUCAAUAUCCUAAAGCUCAGUAUUAGUUCCCAAGUUAUUUACCUUUAUCUAUAUAUUUAUCGUCUAUUUCCUCGGUUUAACUAAUACAACUAUUUUUGUUUUAAAUUUAGUCACUGCGACGUAACACAUUAGUGUUUUGUAAUUAGUUGGUGGCACGUUAAAGUCAACCUCUCUGGAAUGGCUUCCGGUAUUCACAUAAAUUACACCUCCCUCUAUUAAAAGUGGGAAGUUCUGAUUUAAAUAAUCACGAAACGAAACAGAUUACUGGACAAUAUGUUAUCCCAGAUGCUAAGUAGUAUCCCAUCGAUGUGCCUUAAGACAAGAAACCCACGCUGUGUAACUGCUCAACACAUUAUACAAAUAAUUUUUAAUGCAAUGAAAGAAUAAAGUACCCCGUGGAAUAACACGGCAGAUAAAAAUAACAGUCUAUUUAGUAACCCCACUGAACCACUGGCAGGAUUAAUACUACUUUUAUACAAAUGGAUAAUUUUAAACUAGCUUAGAUGAGGUUACAGUAGAUGCAUGAAUUGCGUGCAAGGAUAGAAACUUUUAGACGGACCUGAAUACAAGAUUGUAGUGCCGAAAGCUAAACAGUGGUACAUAUUAUUGUACUAGAUUGCCCAAGAAGGAGAUUUCACGAAGAAAUGAUGAACAUUAUGGAGUUUAGCACAGAAGUUCUAGAAUUGAAAUAGAUUGUUAACAUAAUAAACUAAAUAAGUUCAAAACCACAUUAUAUUCAUAUACACUAAACUCGAAGCAGAACAUAGUCAUUUUCCUUUUGUAUUAUUUUCAUUUACCGUUUUGUAUUGUGCAUAACUGAUUUUUGAGUUUGACCAAAUAUUGAUUUAAAAUCUAUGACCGUUAUAAAUAAAAUGUUAGCAGUAUUUUUUUUUUUAAUUCGAUUCAUUUUAUAAAUUUGUCACCUAUCACUGUUUAUGUUCGCUAAUUUAUUUUUGAACUUAAUUUACAGUUGAAGAAAUUCUGUCUGGUAAGUAGACAUUAUUUGAACAGCUGAUACAGCGACAACCGAUAAUUGUUCCCUAAGUAUACAUACAACCUUUAAACUUACCUUUAAAUCAAAAUUACUUAAAACGCAAAAGUUCGUGAAAUGUAACAAAAAUGAAUUCCGGUUUCGAUUAAUUUUUUUUUUUUAAUUUUCUUAUUAAAAUGGAAUAGAUAUUUUAACUAUAAAAAAAAAAUAAAUAUUCAACAUUUCACAAUAGUAUUGAAUUUUUAUUUGAUAAAUAUGUAUUUAAAUAUUAAUUUUAGGGUAGCUAUCAACCAUAUCAAUUUUUGCAAUAAAAUAAUACAUAUAUACGACAUCAUUAUAAUAAUAGACUCCCGACUUCGAUUUAAUUGAAUAAAAUAUACUAAAAUAAGUUAAGUAUUCUUUUAGAAAUUGCAAUAUAGGAUACAAUCAACAAACUAUUUAAAAAACCAAACAUAUAAAACGAAAUUAGUAUAAUGAAUGUAAAACCCUGUAUUUAUUAUUCUAAAAUAUACUAGGUUCCAGUUUGCAAUAUUUUAGGAGUCUUCGGGUUCCAGGACUGGUUCUAUUCGGUUUGAAAAAAUUAGUCCGUUUUGGGUUAAUUUUUUUUAAAAUAUAUAAUUGCAUGUUUAAUUAGGUCGCUAUAGUCCAGUAUUUAUUUUUUAUCAAUCAUUGUUUAUGAUUCUAUUUUAAUCGCUUAUUUAUGGAAGGGAUUUAAUCUAAAAUUCACUUUCGGGAAAUUAAAAAUAACUGUUUUGCACGUAUAAUAUUUUACGUGUAGAAAAAUUAUAAAAAUUUAACCUAACCUAAUCCAACCCUGAAUUUGAAUUACAAUAAUAAUUUCUGAUAUAACAAUAUAUUAUAUUUUUCUAGAAAUAAAAUUAAUAUAAUUAAAUAUUUUUCAUUGUAGUUAUCGGAAAUUUAUGUUAUGAUAGGAAGAAAUAUUAAAUACAUUUUUAACGUUCCUACUUUCUUGGAAUAAAAAUNAUAUUUUUCAUUGUAGUUAUCGGAAAUUUAUGUUAUGUUAGGAAGAAAUACAUUUUUAACGUUCCUACUUUCUUGGAAUAAAAAUAACAAACUAAGUAUUCUGAAAACUAUCUAUUCUUUGUAAGACUGGUUGAAAAGUAUUGAUAUUACUUCGUAAUAACAAAAAAUAAAAUUCAAAUUAUCGUAAACUUUGUAAAAAAUUAUAGAAACUUAAUAAUUCAUCAUUAGUAAACAUUUGUAACACCAACAUUUUGUUUCAAAAUAUAUUUUAAAAUGGCCAUCUUGAAUUUUGUAAAAAUGUUUUUUAUUUUUAGUUAAAAAAAAAUAGACAAAUUAUACUCCUAAGACUCUGGUAAUUAAAACACUAAAAAAAAACCUAAAAGGAUUAAAGAGAACAAAAGUUAUUUUAAGUUUCAGAUAUUCGUACAAUAACCGGUACUCAUGUAUAUUAUGUACUUUAAUAUUCAUUUUAUAGUGAAAUUUUCAUUUUUUUUUUUCAAUUUUUAUUUACAAUAUUAUUAUGUUAUUUUAAAAUGCAAAAAUUAAAAUUGUUUACUAUACAGCUAAACGCGAAUCAUGUAAACUUUUUUUCUAUUAUCAACGCACAUUUCAAAAAUAUUGUACUUACCAAGUUUAAAUGUAUAAUAUCAAUAAUGCUAUUUGUUAUUGGCAAAUAACUAUUAUUUGUCAUAUUUUAUUACAUUAUUUUUACAAAUUAUUUGAUAGCAAUGCCUAAUAGUAUGUUGUUUUUUUUUUUUUAUAUUUGAAUAUGCUAUAUAAAAUUUGAAGAUAACAAAGUAAAAAUACACAAGAAAAGACACCGUAAGUAUUUUUUGUUUUUUUUUUUUUUUACUUAUACAAGCAAAUUAUUUUUACCCACAUAACACAACAUUUAAACGUUAUAAUAAUACUAGCUGUUCCGCGCUCGGCGUUACUCAUACCAAUUUUUCAUUAUUUUUCUUUUAUUUCCGUUUUGCUUUUCCUGUAUCAGUAUAUUGAACAAAACAAAAAAAUAGGUGGAAAGCGGGUCAGUGGCGAUCUAAUGUAUUUAUCUGUGUUACCAUAGAUACCCGCACAGUAAAGAGAUUGAACUAUAUAUUCACUAUAAAAACACUAAAAUUAUAAGGACUUAAUAGUAAUGUAGUUGAGUAGUGUUGUUACUCUACCGAAAAAUACGAAAAUUCAAAGCUAACGUUUUACGUGUUUUCACUUUUUACUUGCCGACCAAGUACAGUGCAUAGUUUUAGAUUCUGAGUGGAUUGAAGAAGCUUAUGGUUUUACUAAGAUGUUUAUAUUUUAUCUGUGCGCUACUUUUCUAGCGGAAGACUUGCUCCGAUUUUUAAGUGUAGCACCUUUUCUGAAAGGAAAUCGGUGUAGGGAGGUCAUAUUUUGAUUUUCCCAUGAGUUUUCCAGACAAAUGUGAAAAACCGGGAUAAAACAUGGGAAAAUCGGUACAACAUUAAACAAAUAUUAUUAAAAAAAGCAUAUUUAAUUAUUUUACUACAAUAUGGCAUAUAUAUUGUUGACAGAGCAUCACUAUCAACUGAACUCUGCUCAGAAUCAUUUUUUCGUAAGCAAUGGUUUAUCGUUGCUUACAAAUAUACAUUAAAUUCCCGUCUAUGUCUUUAUUCACUAGAUUUAUAGUUGUGUGUGGGUAAAAAGUAGGGAGCGUUUUUAGUGGCGUAGCGUUGUAUAGUCAGUGGUGUGACUGUGUAAGCACUAACCAAAAAUUAUUUAUCUACCUAUAUACCUUUAUCUAUUUUCAUUAACUUUAGAGAGCCACUCACAAUAUUUUGAUACAAAUAUUAUCAAAAAUGAUUUAAAUAAUUAAACGUAGAUCGUGAAAUAUGCUUAUAAUAUGUCUUCUCCUUAUACUAUUACACAAUUUUAAAAUGUAAUGCAUAAUUUUACAUUAUUAGAACUUGAUCGUUGCUUAAAUUGUUCAUUUGAAAAUAUACCUGACUUUGUAUAAUUGAAAGUGAAAACAAUGCUUGUAUGCACGGCACGCCACUUGGCGUUUUACAUGGGUUUAUUAUGCAAACAUUGUUUGAAAUAUUAUACACUCUCGUUCCCUUGCUAUUCUCUAUUUUACUUAACUCGGGCUACGGCCACGACCCUUAUACGAUUAUUAAAAAAUAUGGAUGAAAAAAAGAGUACACAUUGGUUUCUAUAUAAAUCCCAACUUAUAAGUCUACAAAUUCUUUUUUAAUGUAAAAGUAUAAUAUAUUUUAUUAUUAUAGUAUUUGCAUUUUAAUAUACUGUACGCUACAAAAUAUUGAAAAUUAUUAUUUAUGAUUUGUUUUUUUACAUAAUUCCGUCUUAAUUAUUUAAAUACAUAUGUGACGUUAUUUUAGAAAAUCAAUUGUUUUUAAAUGCUUAGAACUUGUAAGUUUGGAACGUUAAUUACUUAUCGACUUAUCAUACAGCAAAACAUAAUAUUUGUUGAUUCUUAGUCAAAUCCACAAGGCAUUGACAUUUUCGCAAAAUUAGGUGUUCUGAGCAAUUUUUACAGAGCCGUCACCACCUGUUCACCUCGUUGUAUCCAGUCUAUCUGCUUAGUCCAUAUUUUAUAUUAUUGUUUAAAAUAUUAAUAAAUAUAUACGACAAUGCCACAAUUUACAUUUAUCACACAUAAUAUUAAUCGUUUAUAUUUUCAGAUAUGUUGAAUAGAAUAGAAAGAUUAUUCCUACACAAUUCUAGUAUGUAUUUAAAAAUUAUAUUUUAUAAUAAAAAAAAUGUCUGCCAUAGAAUACAAUAGACAAAGCAUUUUUUCUUGGUCUCGUGCUUAAACAUCCCUAAAUGCGAAAUCGAUUCAAAAAUGAAUUGGUAUUUAGACCUCGCAAAAAAAUGUUGACCAGAGCCGUCCUUAAAGUAGAUACGAUAUGACUUCUGCGAUCGCGAAUGUGGUUGCAAUUAUAUCACUCCAUCAAUGUAAUCAAUGUUCUUGGUUUGGUUACAACGUAUGUGACUUACAUCGAUCACUGCAAUCCAGAUAUUGGUGACUACACGAGCAAUCAAAUAUAUAACAAUAUUAUAUUAUUACUCAUAUAAUAAUAAUAUAUUAUGAUAGUCACUGAUUCAGUACCAUUACAUUUCACAAUUUUAUUUGUUAAUUAAUUUUUAUGUUAAUUCACAGGCAAUGCAACUCCGCCGCCCGGUAAGUAAUAUUUACACAAGAUAUACAGUGAUAACCGAUAGAUACCAAUGUAUAGGUAUAUUAUAGAGUAUAAUACCUAAAUGAUAAAUACAUAUGUAAUGAUCAUAAUACGUUAUUUUAUUUUUAGAUUUUGAGUGUAACGAAGAAAGUAUUGGUUUUACUAAGAUGUUUAUUAUUUUUAUCCUGUGUACAAAAAUUCAACAUAAAUCUUGCUAAGAUAUAUACGCUCGGCACCAUUUCUGAAAAGGAAUGUUGUCCAGAUGGUACUUAUUGCAGGUCAUUUUUUUAUUUUCCAAGUGGUUUUCAUAAUAUCUGGGAAAACCAGGAUAAAACGUAAAAAAACGGGAAAUGUACGAAAUUAAUGCUUUUAUUAUUUUAUCAAUUUUGUUAUUUAUUGUAAUUAAUUUUAAAAUAUUCGUAGAGACUUGAAAUUCGGACAGAAAAUUUAUAUUUGCCUUUUCUAAACAUUGCAAAAUUUCAAAAUAAUUAGGCCAUUUUUGAGUUAUUUAUAGACAUUUAAAUUUUGCGAAUUUUGUACGUAAUGUUUAUUCGGUAGAUACACUGUGGUAAAAUUGUUAGACUUGAAAAACAGAAAUGUUNAUUUAAAUUUUGCGAAUUUUGUACGUAAUGUUUAUUCGGUAGAUAUUCUGUGGUAAAAUUGUUAGACUUGAAAAACAGAAAUUGUUAAACAGAAAUGUUUGAAAAUUUUACAGCAGGUUCAAGAAAUCUUACUUUUUGGUAAAAAAAUUAACGAAAUUGCUGGUAGAAAAGUUGUAGACAGGAAAAAAAAUAAAAAUCACUAUAAAACUAAUACAUUUAUCGCUCCGCUCAAAAAUUUAAAAAUAAAGGAAGCUUGUCGAUAUAAUUGAAAUUAAUUUAUAACAUAAAUCAUUAGUUUAUUUACCGUAUGUUUAUCAGCAAUUUGUAUAUUUAAUGUAACUUAUUCUUAAUAUUAACUAGUUUGUUCGGCGGACGAAGGCGGGGAAGCUACCGUAACUACAAGUAAAUAAAUUUUUAAAAACAAAUUUAAGUAGUUCAAACUCAAAAUCGUUUGUCCAAAAUGUAUAUUUCCAGAGUAUUCAACAUCCAUUUUAAUAUCUUUUUGUCGAAAAAACAAUGGGCAGAUACAAAUAAAAAAUGUAUUUAAACAUAAAACAUGAACAUUAGAUUAUGGUCAAUGACAAACCAAAACUAAAACUACAACUGUUUUAAAUCAUUUAAAUCCGUAUUUUUAAAAUAAUAUAUUUUAAAACUGAUCAUCUAGCUAAGUUUAUUUUCGUUAAUUAAUAUUUGAUAUUGGUAUUUAGGUUGUACAGAACAUGUUGAAAUCAGUAAGUAAUAUUUGUAUACAGCGAUAGCCAAAAAUUAUUUAGAUAAAUUUGAGUAUAAUACAUAACUAACGGUUGUGUAAUCGUAAUAACUUAACAAUAUUGAGUGAUCAAUCUAUCGUUAGACACUCGUUAUCACGGAAAGUAUUUACUUUUUUCAGAAUUUUUUUUCUAGAAUAUUUAAGAAGUAAGGUGCUCUACAAUCUUAUAUUUAUGUUAUUUUUUGUCAUUCUUAUUUUUGGGGGUAAAACCAUUUCCUACUUUUGAUUUUCAAAUGGCGACCUAUAUUAAAAAAUCUAUGAAUAGCCAGAAUAUUCAUCAAAAUAAAUUUCGGUGUUGAAAUGUUUGAUUUCCGACAAUCCGUUGACGAAAUAUUCCACUUUUAGGUUUGGGUUGGGGGAGAGUGGUGGUACAUUAUUAAUACGCCGCGCUCGGUACCACCACACAACUGAUACUCCGCUACCAAAUUAAUAAAAAAUCUGUUACAUAUGCACUACAAUAUUAUAAUUUUACAUAUUAUGUACCCACUGAUUUGGAUUAAUUAAGUCUCGGUAUUUUCUAUUUAUUUUUUUGCUCGGUUUUUUAAUGUAUAGAUGAUAGUGACGAAUGUAGCGAUUCAGGUAAGUACUUUUUAUUCAUGGUUUCUUAACUCUGUAACGGAAAGUAUAUAAAAUAAUAAUAAUAAACAACAAACACUUUUACUGUCUAAAAUGGAUUUAAAGAAAUAUCGAUACUAUGCUAUUUUCAGAAAAAGAACGCAUCAGGCGGCGGACAAAAAUCGGUCCGUGUGCGCGCAUGUCUUUACUAAUUAUCAAUAACCAAUCAUAGAAUGUCCGACGCUGUUUCAAAUUUCACGUUUAAACUUGCACCGUGAUCUAAACUUCCCCUUUAGUAGAUUUAUUGGUACACUGAGGAAAUAUUCCAAAGAGCUAUGAGUUCCGAAUACUGUUUAUAAUAAAGAUUGUAUAUUUAUUUGAGAUUAUGGAUACGUUUCACGAUGUAUUUUUUUAUAGAAAAAUACUUUUUCGGUUUAUUAAAAUAAACUUAAUUCACAUACAAUUUCAUUAGGCGUGAAAAAAAUUAAUAUUCAAUAAAAUAAGACGUUAUGUGAUAAGGAAAUACAAUCAGUACGGUAAUUCUUAACCUUCUAUUGAAUAUUAAUUGUUUUCACGCCUCUUUUCUAGAAAUUAAAACGGCUAUAAUUAAGAAACUAUUAAUCGAAUAUAAAUGUACUAUAGAUUAAAAUGUUGAGAAUAGUAUUUUUACAAAAUGGCUAUUUUGGAAAUUUUCUAUAUUGAAUAAAUAAAAAGUUAUUUUUUUUUAUGUUCAAGGAAUGAAAAUAAAAAUUAUAUUUUUCUCUAAAUCGAUGCACCCCUCAGAGAUGAAUUGAUUGAAAAAAAAUCUGAGUAUAGCAAAGAAGCUAUACGUUCAAUUAAUAUGUAGUUUAUUUCCCAAGGUUAUUAAUAAAAGUAAACGGAUGAACAUCUGUGACUUUUCUCCCUGAUAAAAUUUUAUUUCAAACAUUUUUUUUUAGAAUUCCUACUACUUUUCUCGAAAUAUUGAUUUCUAUUGCCUAUACAAUUAAUUAUGAGAAAAAAACUUACAGGCAGUUUAUAAUAUUCCAAAAUGUUAUAAACAUUUCCACAAUAGUAUUGUAUAAUUCAGAUAUUAUUUAAAUUUAGAUGAAAUAAUAAUCAAAUUAAUAAACAAUCUGUUAUACAUGCACACUACAAUAUUAUAAUUGUAUAUAUUAGGUACCCACCGAUUUGGAUUGACUAAAUCACAGUAUUUUUUAUUUAUUUUUUUUGUUUGGUAUUUUAAUGUAUAGAUGAAAGCUAUAAUAGCAAAUUUAGAGAAUCAGGUAA